Molecule: ribosomal RNA, 254 nt
Filed under: uncultured bacterium
Lineage: Bacteria
Description: partial 16S ribosomal RNA
Rfam family: Bacterial small subunit ribosomal RNA
Source: RNAcentral
UACAUAGGGUGCAAGCGUUAUUCGUAUUUAUUGGGCGUAAAGAGCUCGUAGGCGGUUCAACAAGUCGGGUGUUAAACCCCCAGGCUCAACCUGGGGCCGCCACCCGAAACUGUUGUGACUAGAGUUUGGUAGGGGAUCACGGAAUUCCUGGUGUAGCGGUGGAAUGCGCAGAUAUCAGGAGGAACACCGGUGGCGAAGGCGGGUCUCUGGGCCAUUACUGACACUGAGGAGCGAAAGCGUGGGGAGCAAACAGG